Molecule: ribosomal RNA, 485 nt
Filed under: uncultured Saprospiraceae bacterium
Lineage: Bacteria; Pseudomonadati; Bacteroidota; Saprospiria; Saprospirales; Saprospiraceae
Description: bacterial SSU rRNA
Rfam family: Bacterial small subunit ribosomal RNA
Source: RNAcentral
GAUGAACGCUAGCGGGAGGCUUAAUACAUGCAAGUCGAGGGGCAGCAGGCCGACUUCGGUUGGUGCUGGCGACCGGCGCACGGGUGAGUAACGCGUACACAACCUACCUUCAAGAGGAGGAUAGCCCUGGGAAACUGGGAGUAAUACUCCAUGUGAUUAAUGUUUAGAUUAGAGAUUAAUUAAAGCUUUCGGGUGCUUGAAGAUGGGUGUGCGUUAGAUUAGCUAGUUGGUACGGUAACGGCGUACCAAGGCUACGAUCUAUAGGGGGCGUGAGAGCGUGAUCCCCCACACGGGUACUGAGACACGGACCCGACUCCUACGGGAGGCAGCAGUAAGGAAUAUUGGACAAUGGGCGCAAGCCUGAUCCAGCCAUCCCGCGUGCAGGAUGACGGCCCUAUGGGUUGUAAACUGCUUUUAUUAGGGAAGAAACCCCUCUAUUGAUGGAGGGCUGACGGUACCUAAAGAAUAAGCACCGGCUAACUCCG